AUUAAAGUUGUUGCAGUUAAAAAGCUCGUAGUUGAACUUCAGACCUGGCCGGGCGGUCUGCCUAACGGUAUGUACUGUCUGGCUGGGUCUUACCUCUUGGUGAGCCGGCAUGCCCUUCACUGGGUGUGUCGGGGAACCAGGACCUUUACCUUGAGAAAAUUAGAGUGUUCAAAGCAGGCCUAUGCCUGAAUACAUUAGCAUGGAAUAAUAAAAUAGGACGUGCGGUUCUAUUUUGUUGGUUUCUAGAGUCGCCGUAAUGAUUAAUAGGGAUAGUUGGGGGCAUUAGUAUUCAGUUGCUAGAGGUGAAAUUCUUGGAUUUACUGAAGACUAACUACUGCGAAAGCAUUUGCCAAGGAUGUUUUU
RNAcentral lists this non-coding RNA (363 nucleotides) under Gelatoporia subvermispora B. RNAcentral describes it as "Eukaryotic small subunit ribosomal RNA". It matches the Rfam family "Eukaryotic small subunit ribosomal RNA", at positions 603 to 971 of the family's 1831-position model. The record is from Rfam by way of RNAcentral. Lineage: Eukaryota; Fungi; Basidiomycota; Agaricomycetes; Polyporales; Gelatoporiaceae.